This 484-nucleotide ribosomal RNA is filed under the name uncultured bacterium. RNAcentral's name for it is "partial 16S ribosomal RNA". It matches the Rfam family "Bacterial small subunit ribosomal RNA", at positions 28 to 507 of the family's 1533-position model. The record is from RNAcentral.
AUUGAACGCUGGCGGCAUGCUUUACACAUGCAAGUCGAACGGCAGCGCGGGCUUCGGCCUGGCGGCGAGUGGCGAACGGGUGAGUAAUGCAUCGGAACGUGCCCAGUAGUGGGGGAUAGCCCGGCGAAAGCCGGAUUAAUACCGCAUACGACCUGAGGGUGAAAGCGGGGGACCGAAAGGCCUCGCGCUAUUGGAGCGGCCGAUGUCGGAUUAGCUAGUUGGUGGGGUAAAGGCUUACCAAGGCGACGAUCCGUAGCUGGUCUGAGAGGACGACCAGCCACACUGGGACUGAGACACGGCCCAGACUCCUACGGGAGGCAGCAGUGGGGAAUUUUGGACAAUGGGGGCAACCCUGAUCCAGGCAUGCCGCGUGCGGGAAGAAGGCCUUCGGGUUGUAAACCGCUUUUGUUCGGGAAGAAAUCCUCUGGGCUAAUACCCCGGGGGGAUGACGGUACCGGAAGAAUAAGCACCGGCUAACUACGUG